RNAcentral lists this ribosomal RNA (465 nucleotides) under uncultured bacterium. RNAcentral's name for it is "partial 16S ribosomal RNA". It matches the Rfam family "Bacterial small subunit ribosomal RNA", at positions 339 to 795 of the family's 1533-position model. The record is from RNAcentral.
CUACGGGGGGCAGCAGUGGGGAAUAUUGGACAAUGGGGGAAACCCUGAUCCAGCAAUGCCGCGUGUGUGAAGAAGGCCUGCGGGUUGUAAAGCACUUUCGGUUGGGAGGACUGCUUCUAGCACUAAUAUUGUUGGAAGUUGACGUUACCUUCAGAAGAAGCACCGGCUAACUCCGUGCCAGCAGCAGCGGAAAUACGGAGGGUGUAAGCGUUAAUCGGAAUUACUGGGCGUAAAGCGCGCGUAGGCGGCUAGAUCAGUCGGGUGUGAAAGCCCCGGGCUUGACCUGGGAACUGCAUCCGAUACUGUCUAGCUUGAGUACAGGAGAGGAGAGUGGAAUUCCACAUGUAGCGGUGAAAUGCGUAGAUAUGUGGAGGAACACCAAUGGCGAAGGCAGCUCUCUGGCCUGAUACUGACGCUGAGGUGCGAAAGCGUGGGGAGCAAGCAGGAUUAGAUACCCUAGUAGUC